Molecule: long non-coding RNA, 1084 nt
Organism: Strongylocentrotus purpuratus (purple sea urchin)
Lineage: Eukaryota; Metazoa; Echinodermata; Echinoidea; Camarodonta; Strongylocentrotidae
Exons: 4
Source: RefSeq, a predicted model, not a curated record
UCAUCCUCUACUCGCCUUGAAAAUCAAAGACAUCUCCAGCUAAGAGAUUGUUUGUUUAAGUGAUUUCGCGCUGGACGCUGAAUCUUCAACUCCUGAAUUCAAAAGAGCUGUGAUCACCCAUUUACAUGUAAAUUCUUUUUUUUCUGGCUUCAUCUCUUCUUCUGUGUGUUCUUUCUCCGUUCUUGGACCCGGGCCGGGCCUGCAACAGUUUAGUAGGUUCCAUGGUCGGAGUCUCAGAGAUUAGCAAUAGUUUGCACCAAGUCAAAUGAAGCAAAUUGAACCAGUUUAACCAGGGCAUAUCCCUGCUUGAACCUUGACGAGAACAUCCUUGAACUGUCUUCGAUACCGACCGAAAUCAUAAUACUGUUCGACCGGAUGGCCGAGAAAUAAAUUCCUGUGGGAUUCCUUAUUCAGCAGGAACUACACUCUAUUUCUCGAAGAAUAUUGAACUGAGGAAACAACAAAAUGACCCCUUACUACAAGAGGAGACUCAUGAUAUUGCUCACUUUUACAGGGAUGAUAAUGUACUUUUCAUUUACUCUGAUGUCUUUCUCGAGGGAGAGCAACGUAGCCCAGCCAUUCCCUCGACCAAGCAAAAAUACGGGCCAUGAUGACGGCGCUUCUAGAAUUGAUUCAUUACAUCAUGAACGGGAACACCACGUCUUUCAAUAUGGGAACACCACCAAAUUUAGCGCUAACACUAGUGAUUCGUCUCGCGGCUCCCCUUUCAUAUUGAAGCAACCAGUGGCUGGUUGGAGGCAGCGACCUCGGAAACACCUUAAAACAGAAGCUAAAGAUCACCACGUACCAUUGUCAAAACGGAAAGCCGUAGCGGUUACGACUGCGAGAAUAUCUCAAGACAUUUUAACAAAUCUGUCACUCAGUUUUCAAGCUUCUCAACUCCGUUUCGAAAGGGAUAUGGCAAAGUAUGGUCAGCAGGAGAUUGGGCAGCCAGUACGGUACACGAGAGAGAACAUUCCUGCAGAUUUACGUGCCCUGGCACCAAGUUUAUUCAGCCAAUUUCCGCGGAAAUUCUUACCUGAUUACAAGAGCCCGUGCUGGAAGUUUCAUAACGAAACCACCA